Molecule: long non-coding RNA, 201 nt
Filed under: Lathyrus oleraceus (garden pea)
Lineage: Eukaryota; Viridiplantae; Streptophyta; Magnoliopsida; Fabales; Fabaceae
Description: Pisum sativum (pea) long non-coding RNA (PSAT_LNC032412)
Source: RNAcentral
AACAUAAUGACCCAACGCCAUCUCCCAAUCUUGAAUUCUUUGUAUUCGAAGCAGAGGAAGAUGAUGUUGAAGGGGAUUCCUGAUGAGAUUACCCACCUUCUUGAGCACGAAAAGAAGCUCAUUCAGCUGUAUUAUGAGAAUCAGCAAAACAGUCAAACUGGGGCAUUACAAAUGUAAUGUAAAAAAAAAAAAAAAAAAAAN